RNAcentral lists this unclassified non-coding RNA (253 nucleotides) under uncultured Sphingobacteriales bacterium. RNAcentral's name for it is "contains 16S-23S intergenic spacer region". It matches the Rfam family "Bacterial small subunit ribosomal RNA", at positions 524 to 776 of the family's 1533-position model. Lineage: Bacteria; Pseudomonadati; Bacteroidota; Sphingobacteriia; Sphingobacteriales. The record is from RNAcentral.
GACGAAGGAUCCAAGCGUUGUCCGGAUUUACUGGGUUUAAAGGGUGCGUAGGCGGAAAAUUAAGUCAGUGGUGAAAGCCCGCAGUUCAACUGUGGAACUGCCAUUGAAACUGGUUUUCUUGAAUGUAGCUGAGGCAGAUGGAAUAUAACAUGUAGCGGUGAAAUGCUUAGAUAUGUUAUAGAACACCGAUUGCGAAGGCAGUCUGCUAAACUAUUAUUGACGCUGAGGCACGAAAGCGUGGGGAGCGAACAGG